GAUGAACGCUGGCGGCGUGCCUAAUACAUGCAAGUCGAGCGAACAGACGAGGAGCUUGCUCCUCUGACGUUAGCGGCGGACGGGUGAGUAACACGUGGAUAACCUACCUAUAAGACUGGGAUAACUUCGGGAAACCGGAGCUAAUACCGGAUAAUAUAUUGAACCGCAUGGUUCAAUAGUGAAAGACGGUUUUGCUGUCACUUAUAGAUGGAUCCGCGCCGCAUUAGCUAGUUGGUAAGGUAACGGCUUACCAAGGCAACGAUGCGUAGCCGACCUGAGAGGGUGAUCGCCCACACUGGAACUGAGACACGGUCCAGACUCCUACGGGAGGCAGCAGUAGGGAAUCUUCCGCAAUGGGCGAAAGCCUGACGGAGCAACGCCGCGUGAGUGAUGAAGGUCUUCGGAUCGUAAAACUCGGUUAUUAGGGAAGAACAAAUGUGUAAGUAACUAUGCACGUCUUGACGGUACCUAAUCAGAAAGCCACGGCUAACUACGUG
This 497-nucleotide ribosomal RNA is filed under the name uncultured bacterium. RNAcentral's name for it is "partial 16S ribosomal RNA". It matches the Rfam family "Bacterial small subunit ribosomal RNA", at positions 28 to 507 of the family's 1533-position model. The record is from RNAcentral.